This 354-nucleotide ribosomal RNA is filed under the name uncultured beta proteobacterium. RNAcentral's name for it is "bacterial SSU rRNA". It matches the Rfam family "Bacterial small subunit ribosomal RNA", at positions 524 to 878 of the family's 1533-position model. Lineage: Bacteria; Pseudomonadati; Pseudomonadota; Betaproteobacteria. The record is from RNAcentral.
UACGUAGGGUGCGAGCGUUAAUCGGAAUUACUGGGCGUAAAGGGUGCGCAGGCGGUCUUGUAAGUCAGAUGUGAAAUCCCCGGGCUUAACCUGGGAACUGCGUUUGAAACUACAAGACUAGAGUGUAGCAGAGGGGGGUGGAAUUCCACGUGUAGCAGUGAAAUGCGUAGAGAUGUGGAAGAACACCGAUGGCGAAGGCAGCCCCCUGGGUUAACACUGACGCUCAGGCACGAAAGCGUGGGGAGCAAACAGGAUUAGAUACCCUGGUAGUCCACGCCCUAAACGAUGUCAACUAGUUGUCGGAUCUUUAUAGAUUUGGUAACGUAGCUAACGCGUGAAGUUGACCGCCUGGGG